GUGGGGAAUAUUGGACAAUGGGGGCAACCCUGAUCCAGCCAUGCCGCGUGAGUGAUGAAGGCCUUAGGGUUGUAAAGCUCUUUCGUCAGGGAAGAUAAUGACGGUACCUGAAGAAGAAGCCCCGGCUAACUUCGUGCCAGCAGCCGCGGUAAUACGAAGGGGGCUAGCGUUGUUCGGAAUUACUGGGCGUAAAGCGCACGUAGGCGGACAUUUAAGUCAGGGGUGAAAUCCCAGGGCUCAACCCUGGAACUGCCUUUGAUACUGGGUGUCUUGAGUACGAGAGAGGUGAGUGGAAUUCCGAGUGUAGAGGUGAAAUUCGUAGAUAUUCGGAAGAACACCAGUGGCGAAGGCGGCUCACUGGCUCGUAACUGACGCUGAGGUGCGAAAGCGUGGGGAGCAAACAGG
RNAcentral lists this ribosomal RNA (405 nucleotides) under uncultured bacterium. Its description in RNAcentral is "bacterial SSU rRNA". It matches the Rfam family "Bacterial small subunit ribosomal RNA", at positions 354 to 776 of the family's 1533-position model. The record is from RNAcentral.